GACGAACGCUGGCGGCGUGCCUAACACAUGCAAGUCGAACGGAAAGGCCCAGCUUUUGUGGGGUGCUCGAGUGGCGAACGGGUGAGUAACACGUGAGUAACCUGCCCUUGACUUUGGGAUAACUUCAGGAAACUGGGGCUAAUACCGGAUAGGAGCUCCUGCUGCAUGGUGGGGGUUGGAAAGUUUCGGCGGUUGGGGAUGGACUCGCGGCUUAUCAGCUUGUUGGUGGGGUAGUGGCUUACCAAGGCUUUGACGGGUAGCCGGCCUGAGAGGGUGACCGGCCACAUUGGGACUGAGAUACGGCCCAGACUCCUACGGGAGGCAGCAGUGGGGAAUAUUGCACAAUGGGCGGAAGCCUGAUGCAGCAACGCCGCGUGCGGGAUGACGGCCUUCGGGUUGUAAACCGCUUUCGCCUGUGACGAAGCGUGAGUGACGGUAAUGGGUAAAGAAGCACCGGCUAACUACGUG
This 468-nucleotide ribosomal RNA is filed under the name uncultured bacterium. RNAcentral describes it as "partial 16S ribosomal RNA". It matches the Rfam family "Bacterial small subunit ribosomal RNA", at positions 28 to 507 of the family's 1533-position model. The record is from RNAcentral.